GUGCGGGAUGGGCGGGGGGCUGUCCUCCCGGACUCUCCGGAAGUCAACAUCUCCGGGACAGCUGUCCAGCGCAGUCUCUCUUCAGAUGGGGAGACGGAGGCGCAGGGCCCGGGGGACAGUGCAGUGCCAGGCGGUGACUAGGGACCCCAGACGCCCAUCUCCGCCUCCCCCUCCAGAUGAGCGCAUAGGAACAUGAAAUCCCCUGUAAACGCAGUUUCAGAGCAAGCCUGUGCCUCUCAGCCCUGGCUUUUCUGUCUCAAAAUGUAAAGACCCAGGAGCUGGCCGGUUGGGGGGUGGGGUGGGGGGAGAAGGGCUUCUCUGGAGCCCCCAGUGCGCUGAGGCAGAGCCAGGCCACGGCCUUUGCCUUCAUGACGGGCUGCUUCCCAGCUGAGGCUGUAGGCGGGAGGGAGAGGGAGAGUCUGGCCCAGGUGUGGGUCCUGGUUCUCGGGUGAGAUGCCUUGGCGGCUGAGUUGACUGUCCCAUGAAUCCCCCCACGGGUGGCAGGGCCGUGGGGGGAGGUGGGCCGGCCCUCCCCUCCCGCCAGCCUUGUUUGUGCAGUCUGAGCCCUAGGGGUCACUGCCGCUGACCUCAGAGUCCAAGAGUCCAGCUCACCCAGGAAGGACCUCUGGGCCGGAGGGAGGGGCGUGCCUCUCGCUGACCCUGUCAGGCCAGAUGGGUGACUGCCUCGCUCUGGGUCGCUCCCUGAAGGCGGGAGUGGGGCGCUGGGCUGCUGUCCCUGGGACCGCGCCCUGGGGGGCCUCUGGACGUGGGGCCCCGCGUUUCUCCACCUGGAGAGAGGCAGCCGAGCCCAGUCCUGAGGGCCUGGAAACGAGGCUUGCAGAGGUUUCUAAUGGUUUGUUUAUCUACACGUUCCCGUCCUGAACUUGCAGUUGGAGAGCAUGAUUUCAGUGGCACAGGUCACAUCCCAGGUGAACUUCAAAAGACGGGCCUUCCUCAACCUGGAGGACACCGAGGAGCUGUUUUCCUCGCCUUCCUACCAGUCUUAACACAUAUAAACGUGUUUUCUACCUCUCUCUCUCUCCUUUUUUUUUUUUUUUAGAAAAAGUUUUAUUAAACUUUGGAAAGGAAUUGUUGGGUCUUUCCCACUGGUGGGAAUUCAUGAGUUGCCUUGCUUGACUGUCCUGGGCUUUAUGCCCAUGUGUUUUCUUCUGGUCCUAACUUUUCGAGAAACGUUACAAUUUGAAAACAGAAAGCCUAACAGCUCACCAGGUAUUUUUCAUUGCUCGUUCACGCGGCUCCUGCCCACACGCUUUUACGGAGCAGAAGUCAGAGUGUGGGGAGCGUGUACUUCCUCACCAGGGCGCGUGGGAUCGCAGGGAGGGGGAGAACCAUGCUGGAAGUGCCCUUCUCUCUCUCUCUCUCUCUCUCUCUCUCUCUCUCUCUCUCUCUCUCAGUUGUUUUCUCAGGUUUCCCUGUGUGGGGUGGGCCUGCGGGAACAGUGCAAUGAGGACCUGGGUGGGUCACGCUGUCAGCUGGGACUCUGGUGCCGGGGAGCGAGCUGAUGCGAGUUUUGUGGGUCUUCAUGAACCUUAGGGACCCCCUGGAGACCUGGACCCCUCUCCAGUGAGGGGAGGCGGCCAGGGAUUGGCCUGCUGGCCCCGCGGUGGCUGUGGGUGGCACAGGCCAUGGUUUUGGGGCGAAAUCAGCUGGCCAGGGUUUCGGUUUGAGUGUGCGGUGACAGUGUGGGGACCUGGAGGGACACGUAUGCUGUUGGAAGAUGGUGUCAGGAGGUGAGAGCGUGGGUCCCAUGGCCCGGAGUAGACCCUCACACUGGGCCCUCCAAAGAGGGCCCAGAGCCCCCUGCUUCCUCCCUUCCCCUCCUUCACUCCGCCCUCCCAGGCUUCAGUAUGUUCAGGAAAAGUUUAGACCCUGAGCUUUGUCCUUCUGGCUCCAAAGUAAUAGGGCACCCCCACACCCCAGAUAAGUAGCCUGUAAUGCAAACCCUUCGGGAACGUUCAAAGUCACACGUCUUCCGGCGACUGUUGGCAGGUGUAUCUUGGGUUCAUGGUAAAGCUGCCGCGUGGCACAGCGAUCAGAGCCAGACGUAAAAAGUCCAGAAACAAAACCUCGGCGCCAAACCUGUGUUUCCUUCAUUUCUCAGUCCCAUUUUCACGAGGCUUAUCUGGCCAUCUUGUUUGACUCGUGGUAGGGCGCGCAGUUAACUGGAGUCGGUAGAACCUGAACUCUAAAAAUAGCAGGUCUCUGUCCGGCCGCAGAGUGCUAUGCAAAGCCGGUUCCUCUCACGUCCCCCAUGUGGGUUAGAGCUUCCAAACUCAGUGUUUCUUUCUUCUUCUUCUUCUUCUU
Molecule: long non-coding RNA, 2325 nt
Organism: Myotis daubentonii (Daubenton's bat)
Lineage: Eukaryota; Metazoa; Chordata; Mammalia; Chiroptera; Vespertilionidae
Source: RefSeq, a predicted model, not a curated record